This 232-nucleotide ribosomal RNA is filed under the name uncultured bacterium. Its description in RNAcentral is "partial 16S ribosomal RNA". It matches the Rfam family "Bacterial small subunit ribosomal RNA", at positions 118 to 348 of the family's 1533-position model. The record is from RNAcentral.
UGAGGAACAUGACCUUCGGCGGGGGAUAGCCGGCCCAACGGCCGGGUAAUACCGCGUACGACCACAUGGGGACAUCCCUGAGUGGUGAAAGCAGCAAUGCGCCGAUGGAGUGCCUCGCGGCCUAUCAGCUAGUUGGUGAGGUAACGGCUCACCAAGGCGACGACGGGUANCUGGUCUGAGAGGAUGGCCAGCCACAUUGGGACUGAGACACGGCCCAGACCUCUACCGGGAG